GUAGGUGGCAAGCGUUGUCCGGAAUUAUUGGGCGUAAAGCGCGCGCAGGCGGUCCUUUAAGUCUGAUGUGAAAGCCCACGGGCUCAACCAUGGAGGGUCAUUGGAAACUGGGGGACUUGAGUACAGAAGAGGAAAGCGGAAUUCCAAGUGUAGCGGUGAAAUGCGUAGAGAUUUGGAGGAACACCAGUGGCGAAGGCGGCUUUCUGGUCUGUAACUGACGCUGAGGCGCGAAAGCGUGGGGAGCAAACAGGAUUAGAUACCCUGGUAGUCCACGCCGUAAACGAUGAGUGCUAAGUGUUAGGGGGUUUCCGCCCCUUAGUGCUGCAGCUAACGCAUUAAGCACUCCGCCUGGGGAGUACGGCCGCAAAGGCUG
Molecule: ribosomal RNA, 373 nt
Filed under: uncultured organism
Description: partial 16S ribosomal RNA
Rfam family: Bacterial small subunit ribosomal RNA
Source: RNAcentral